Molecule: ribosomal RNA, 468 nt
Filed under: uncultured bacterium
Lineage: Bacteria
Description: partial 16S ribosomal RNA
Rfam family: Bacterial small subunit ribosomal RNA
Source: RNAcentral
GACGAACGCUGGCGGCGUGCUUAACACAUGCAAGUCGAACGGACAGGCCCUGCUUUUGUGGGGUGCUCGAGUGGCGAACGGGUGUGUAACACGUGAGUAACCUGCCCUUGACUUUGGGAUAACUUCAGGAAACUGGGGCUAAUACCGGAUAGGAGCUCCUGCUGCAUGGUGGUGGUUGGAAAGUUUCGGCGGUUGGGGAUGGACUCGCGGCUUAUCAGCUUGUUGGUGGGUUAGUGGCUUACCAAGGCUUUGACGGGUAGCCGGCCUGAGAGGGUAACCGGCCACAUUGGGACUGAGAUACGGCCCAGACGGCUACGGGAUGCAGCAGUGGGGAAUAUUGCACAGUGGGCGGAAGCCUGAUGCAGCAGCGCCGCGUGCGGGAUAACGGCCUUCGGGUUGUAAACCGCUUUCGCCUGUGACGAAGCGUGAGUGACGGUAAUGGGUAAAGAAGCACCGGCUAACUACGUG